AGUGAACGCUGGCGGUAGGCCUAACACAUGCAAGUCGAACGGCAGCACAGUAAGAGCUUGCUCUUACGGGUGGCGAGUGGCGGACGGGUGAGGAAUACAUCGGAAUCUACUUUUUCGUGGGUGAUAACGUAGGGAAACUUACGCUAAUACCGCAUACGACCUACGGGUGAAAGCAGGGGAUCUUCGGACCUUGCGCGAUUGAAUGAGCCGAUGUCGGAUUAGCUAGUUGGCGGGGUAAAGGCCCACCAAGGCGACGAUCCGUAGCUGGUCUGAGAGGAUGAUCAGGCACACUGGAAGUGAGACACGGUCCAGACUCCUACGGGAGGCAGCAGUGGGGAAUAUUGGACAAUGGGGGGAAGCCUGAUCCAGCAAUACCGCGUGGGUGAAGAAGGCCUUCGGGUUGUAAAGCCCUUUUGUUGGGAAAGAAAAGCAGCAGGAUAAUACCAGGCUGUUGUGACGGUACCAAAAGAAUAAGCACCGGCUAACUUCGUG
This 492-nucleotide ribosomal RNA is filed under the name uncultured bacterium. RNAcentral describes it as "partial 16S ribosomal RNA". It matches the Rfam family "Bacterial small subunit ribosomal RNA", at positions 29 to 507 of the family's 1533-position model. The record is from RNAcentral.